Non-coding RNA from Scytonema hofmannii PCC 7110, 78 nucleotides. Lineage: Bacteria; Bacillati; Cyanobacteriota; Cyanophyceae; Nostocales; Scytonemataceae. The record is from Rfam.
GGGAGCCGGAUGCACCCAAAGGCGCACGUCCGGUUCUAAUAGAGAGGUGCGCGGGAUAAUACCCGCCAUCGACUCUAC